This is a non-coding RNA of Tetraodon nigroviridis (spotted green pufferfish), 114 nucleotides long. The record is from Rfam. NCBI's taxonomy places the organism in Eukaryota, Metazoa, Chordata, Actinopteri, Tetraodontiformes, Tetraodontidae.
CACAGGUACGGAGACAUGGUUCCCAAGACGAUUGCUGGCAAGAUCUUUGGCUCAAUCUGCUCUCUGAGUGGGGUGCUGGUAAUUGCCCUGCCUGUCCCUGUCAUCGUAUCCAAC